CAAAGUGAAGAUGGCGACCGGCGCACGGGUGAGUAACACGUAUCCAACCUGCCGAUAACUCGGGGAUAGCCUUUCGAAAGAAAGAUUAAUACCCGAUGGCAUAAUAGAACCGCAUGGUUUGAUUAUUAAAGAAUUUCGGUUAUCGAUGGGGAUGCGUUCCAUUAGGCAGUUGGUGGGGUAACGGCCCACCAAACCUUCGAUGGAUAGGGGUUCUGAGAGGAAGGUCCCCCACAUUGGAACUGAGACACGGUCCAA
Molecule: ribosomal RNA, 255 nt
Filed under: uncultured bacterium
Lineage: Bacteria
Description: partial 16S ribosomal RNA
Rfam family: Bacterial small subunit ribosomal RNA
Source: RNAcentral